This 208-nucleotide long non-coding RNA is filed under the name Callithrix jacchus (white-tufted-ear marmoset). RNAcentral describes it as "lncRNA (ENSCJAG00000080235.1)". Lineage: Eukaryota; Metazoa; Chordata; Mammalia; Primates; Cebidae. The record is from RNAcentral.
CUUAUGUAAAAGAAAGUUGGAGUAGGCAUAAGCUUAUAGGAUCAUUAAGAAGCUCCUGUCCUUCUAUCUUUCUGCUUCCAGGCUUCCAUCUCAAGGUUACUUCAUGGCCCAAGACUUCUGUUGGAGCUCCAGCUGUUACAGCAGCAUCUCAGGCCUCCCUAUUUCAUGAGACCCAGUGAUAUUUAAAUUAGGCCAAUUAAUAAUCCUA